Molecule: ribosomal RNA, 497 nt
Filed under: uncultured bacterium
Lineage: Bacteria
Description: partial 16S ribosomal RNA
Rfam family: Bacterial small subunit ribosomal RNA
Source: RNAcentral
GAUGAACGCUGGCGGCGUGCCUAAUACAUGCCAGUCGAGCGAACAGACGAGGAGCUUGCUCCUCUGACGUUAGCGGCGGACGGGUGAGUAACACGUGGAUAACCUACCUAUAAGACUGGGAUAACUUCGGGAAACCGGAGCUAAUACCGGAUAAUAUAUUGAACCGCAUGGUUCAAUAGUGAAAGACGGUUUUGCUGUCACUUAUAGCUGGAUCCGCGCCGCAUUAGCUAGUUGGUAAGGUAACGGCUUACCAAGGCAACGAUGCGUAGCCGACCUGAGAGGGUGAUCGGCCACACUGGAACUGAGACACGGUCCAGACGCCUACGGGAGGCAGCAGUAGGGAAUCUGCCGCAAUGGGCGAAAGCCUGACGGAGCAACGCCGCGUGAGUGAUGAAGGUCUUCGGAUCGUAAAACUCUGUUAUUAGGGAAGAACAAAUGUGUAAGUAACUAUGCACGUCUUGACGGUACCUAAUCAGAAAGCCACGGCUAACUACGUG